UUAACUCAAAUUUGUAUGGAGUUGGAGCAGUUUGGCUACGUUUGCCACUAGGGGCGCUGUUCCAACUCCAUACAAUUUUAAGUUA
This is a non-coding RNA of Bombyx mori (domestic silkworm), 85 nucleotides long. The record is from Rfam. Lineage: Eukaryota; Metazoa; Arthropoda; Insecta; Lepidoptera; Bombycidae.